Delphinapterus leucas (beluga whale) is the source of this 9192-nucleotide non-coding RNA. Lineage: Eukaryota; Metazoa; Chordata; Mammalia; Artiodactyla; Monodontidae. The record is from RefSeq and is a predicted model, not a curated record.
CGGGCCCAGCCGCUCCGCGGCACGUGGGAUCUUCCCGGACCGGGGCACGAACCCGCGUCCCCUGCAUCGGCAGGCCGACUCUCAACCACUGUGCCACCAGGGAGGCCCCGCUAUUUCUUGAUAAUCAAAUUCAGUUCAAAGAAUAUUUCUGAGCCUCCAUCACGUAGGAGGCACUGUGCUAGGACCUUGGUGGGGAUACAGGGGCACUUCGCAGUUACAGCUUAACUUGGAGACAGCCCUGAACAUUACUAAUGAAAUGCAGCACAGUGUGUGUUUCAGGUUGUAAUGGGGGCCGAGAAAGCAAAAAUUAGCUCAGACUGAGAAACUAUAAAUCUGCAUUGUCCUUCAUGAGGCACAGAUAAAGCCAGCUGCAGAGUUAACGGGAAACAGUAUUUCUCCCAUGGACAUGCUGCAGCCAUGAUGUGUCAUAGCAACUCUCUUCAAGUGACUGCUGCUUUUUUACUCACUGAGAAACUCUGUUUUCUAAAUAUCAUAGACUAUCAGAAAUUUUGCUAUUUGAAAUUAUAUAAGAUGAAAUAUCCCCCUUUUAUGUAAUUCACUUUGAUACAAAAGUUGCCUUGGCUUGCAAAUGAGGGACAGAGCUUCAAACAAGGGUUUGGGAGCACAGCACUGAACAUAUCAACUUUUGUUUCCAAGGAUACAGAACCCUAGGUCCAAUUUGUUGUUCAAACCUGAUGUUCAGGCCUUUACACAGCGCCCUGCCUUGCUCUGAGCCUAUCACAAUGUUGAUUUAUUUAAAUUUCACCCUUCCGCCCAAAUUGGUAAUUUCCGCAUUUCCUCCAUGUGCAGUACAUGUGCAGGUACUUUCAUAGCAAUGGAUAUUGUCAGACUAUUGACUUUGUCAGACUAUUGGUUUGCUUCUGGAAGCCUUAGGCUGAUUGGGCUAGGACAGAUGUCCACUUUGACAAUUCUCAAUUUAGCAUUAAAUCUAUGUGUAAUGUAUUUACAUAAUACAUAUGUUGCAUAUAUCCAUGUAUCCUGUUUUUUCACUUUUAACGGUGUUGUGUGUAGAUAAUUUUUCUUCCACAAAGUAAUAUCUCUUCCUGGAGGCUGGCGUCUGUGCUUAAAAUUCCAUCUGAUUUUUUUUUCUCAGUGUCUUGACCAGCAUUGUGCAUACAGUACAUGUUCGAUAAACACUUUCCACAAAGAAGCUUCACAUCUUAGCUAUUUCUUUGAGACUUUCUCCAAGUUUGAAACCUAACAGACUGUGGUAUCCUCUUCCUCACAAUUCUACCUCUGCUUAAUAAAGUGCAAGUUACCCAGGCAAUGAGGCGCGGUGCAGUUGAAGCUUUUUAUAGCUCCAUCUGUCUGCAGUCACCUAAAUGUCAGUGGAUAGAUGUAUUUGUCAUAAUGUGCAGUAAGUGCAAAUAAGCCCCCCGUUAGUAGUAUCACUAGAGAUAAAAUAGAUUGACAGGAACUCAGAGGUGAUAAACUGUCAGAUUGCACUCUAAGGAAAUACAGCAUGUCAUUGGUAGCUGAAAAUGUGCAGAAGUAAACGCACAAUUCCUCACUCCAACCUGAUUUGUUUUCAAACCUUUGCGUAUUUACUUUUGUUCAUCCACCACUUUGGUUGAAAUAAACCAUUAAUUAAAAACAGCUCAGGAAAACCACUGAUGACGUUAAUAGAUCUCAACACAGCAGCAGCAAAACAGUCUCAAUUCACCGAACUGCCUUCCAGGCGGGCCUUGCCCUUUCUGUAGAGGAUGGUGGAGAAGCAAAAGUCUCUGGUUCUCAGGGGCUGCUGGGGGAUCGGUGUCGCUGAUCAUCUUAUGCCUAAAGUAAUGCUUUUCCUUGAAACUUAGGUAUGCAGGGAUUCAUAAAACCAGCAGAAGUAGGAAGUAACAGAGAAUGCCUUUUGAGUAACCAGGAAGGAUUUGGUAAAAGCCCACACGCUGCAUAAUCCGUGCUCCUUCCUCAUGGUUGUGCCCCUUAGUUCAUGUUUGCCUGACACGCGGUCCUGAAAGCUCUCUGUUCCAGUGUUUGCUCCCUAAUGAAUGUCAGUAUAUUAGAUUCUGAGCUAGUGACAAGGGACUUACCUGUGUUCCUGUCCUCACAUUCCUCUGGAUGUACUAAAUGGUUUGAUUAAGCCUGAUCACUUCAGUGAUGAACACUGGAACGGUUUUAUUUUCCUCCACAGAACGCGCGUGAAGGAAGCUGGGGAGAGUCAGUCGCAAUGUCUGCUGUUAUGUUCCUCAGGAUCCGCUGUUUUGUGGUCUGGUUGUGUUAUUAAAAUUGCAGUCUCAAGUCAUUUCAAAACCCGUCCUUUACCUCAGCUCAGAUUGGCCAGGGCUGCCCCAGCAACUUGACGCUAAGACGUCCAUGCACCUUCCACGUUGCCAAAGCAGACAUCCAACUGGAGGAUACGAUGCAGACAUCUCCAAACAUCAGGAAACAUUCUCUUAGAGCCGGUCCCCCAGCCUGGGUGAGAGUCUGGGGACAAACUGAACACGUCCCUUUCUCUUUGCGAAGGAGAGAAAGAAGCCACGUUCUCAAGAAGAAAACUGAGGUGGUAACCUGCUCCCCGUCUCCAGCUGUCUUUAUCCCGUCUUUGUCCCCGCCAGGCUGACAACCAGUGCUUUACAGACCACUGUCUUCUGCGGCUCCUGAUGGAGUUUCCCAUAAUGCUGAACCAAAUGAUGCUGAGAUGCUGAACCAAACAUCUCCAGGAUGCUGUUCUUCCUGGCUGGCUCUCUCUCUACACUGAGUCCCGAGUCCUGCCGUCUCCAGUAUCACUCCAGCAGUGGGUUUUAUUUUCAGGACCACAUGUGUUGCCGGAGAUACUCUGACCUGUCUUGAGCUCAUCUUCUGAGAUUUGGCAGGAAGAAUCGACACACGUCAGCAAGGCCUGAAUGCACCGUGUCUCCUGUCCGGACAUAAUCACGUCCAGCAGCAGAAGAGACUUCUCUUCCUGGAUGAUCUUUUUUAAGAAAAUGGGCAAUCUCCUACACGCCUCCCAGAAGAGUUCUCCUUACGUCUCCACGAUCCUUCAUACUGCAUGCCUGGAUGCUAUAACCAGAUUUCACCAGUGAGGAGGUGUGGUUAGCCUGGGGUCUCCAUCUUCAACAGAGAUGCUCCAGAUAAACUCUUCUUUCGAGCAGAGUUUGGGCUACACCGCAGAUAUGUAAUAUUCCAAAGUAUGGAUAUUUUAACUAUUUCAUGUUCUUAAGAGUUCGGCAAAAUGAGGCAUGAGCCGGUACAGAUUUUCUACAGAAGCCUCAAAGCUGAAAACGACAUGACCCAAUCACUCCCACGGUCUGCAGAUCUGGCCAAGGAGUUGCCAGACCUAGGCAGGGCCUUCUCGGAGGUGGCCAGGUCAUCCUACGAUCCUCGCUCCCCGCUCCACACUUCUGUGCUCCCCAGUCGCUCCCACCCACUUCUCCUAAGACAAGAGAGAAGAGCCUUGAAGCUGUGAGGCUGCUCUGGGGCUUCCCAUAGAACAGAGCAUGGAGGGGAGUUCUUGGGAGAACUUGACACAAGACCUUGGGUGAGAGAAGGAAUUUUGAGCUUAUAGACUGGUACCUACUGCUUGCAGGGGAAAUCUGGAAGAUGGAGGUGAGUGGGGCCAGCCUGUGUUGUCAGGGCUAUGGGCUGCCUGCCUCUGCACCGCUUAGCCUGCCAAGGAUUGGUGAGUUUCCCGUGGACCAAGUGGAUGCUGUGGAACAGAGCAUCUGGUUGAAGAGGGUGGCUGGCCAGGCUGCAGGUCAGGCCUGAGCUGGGAGAAGGGGAGAGACUUUCCGCUGCAUGUGAGAUUAGAUUUUGAUUUAUAUGGAGUCGGACUUUCCAGUUCCUGAAAGGGUUUUCUCUUGCUGGCUGCCUCCAAGUUCCCAGGGUUUCACACAUUCUGCACCGGGCGGGCUCGCCAGGACAUCGAAGACCACUACCAACAGCUGCUACAAGUUUAAAAUCUUUAGAAGAAGGAACAGAUUGCAGUUUGCUCCUGAGGGUCACCACAGAGCACUGAACAGAGUUCCCUGUGCUAUACGGUGAGAUUGUGGAUUUGCUCUCGUGGUUCUCCGAAGGAGACCGUGGUGGUGCUGGGAUGCGGCUCCGGUGCCUUCUGCCUUGUUUACGCCCAGCUGUUAUUCUUGUUCCUGUCACUGCCAGUUACUGAAGAAUCCAUCAUGCCUGAGACUCACAAGGGGGCUUCUUUUCUGCUUCCUGAGGAGGAGUGGCAGGGGCAGUGGAGGUGAACAAAUUGGAUUGAUUACCAUCUGAAGACAGGGUUCGAGCUUCUGUCCUAAUCAUGCUGGCGGGACCGCCAGGCUGUCUGAUUCACUCAGACAAAAGCCCUGAGAAAACAGGGAGGGUUAGGAGCCCAUAUGCUCACCUGGUAGUCUAGCGGCCGCUCUGGAUUGAGCAGGACUUCAGAAAUAAGGAGAACAUUUUUACUGCUAAUAACCUCCCACAAAUGUCAUAACCAAGGCUCUGAAUGCAAGAGACAUGCCAAGAUCUAAUUCCACGCACUUAUGUGUGUGGCUUUCUGAUAUCGACUGAGGUAUUAAUUGCUGCGUGUGUUCCUUUUUGUACUCUCCUUCCUGCAGGUAACUGGCUCAGCACAUCAUUGAUUCGGGAGAGCUACGUGGUGGGGUAGAAGGUAGAAGUGGCCUGUUAGUCCCUCUGUCUCUGCUUUUUCAAAAGCUGAAUUGCUCAGGAGAACAAAUAGGGUUUGCUGAGGAGGUAGAAAGAAAGGAGAAGUGAUUUUAGAGAAUUGUUAGAGAAGCAAGAGAGAUCAAAAGACUCUCUCCACUGACCCCCACCCCACCCUGCCCUCUACUAGGCUGGGAGAUGAGGGAGAGAGAUAUCGGAAGCACUGAGAUAACUUACUCAUCAAUCCUAUUUUGUUCUAUGUAUUCAUGUAUUUAUCACUCCUGGGUGCCCACUUCUGGGUGUACACUUCCUUCUCUCCUUACUAGGACCAAAGCCUUUGGCUCAUCUCAUGAGCUCAUGUAUUGCCUGUUUCCUCUGUUUCUGGAAGACUGGUUUUAUGAAAUAUCUGGAAUUUCUCAUAUCACAAAGAAAAAGUGCAGAUUUUCCAGAAUGACCAGGGGGUCUGUACACAUAGCACUGAGCAUCGUUGGAGAGAUUAGAACUGAAGACAUUCUUCUAAGAUAAGAUGUUACUAUAAGGCGGAAUGCAUAACAACAGUGUACAAUGUUUCCUAGGAACUCCAGCAUUUCAAUUUUAUUAUACUUUUAUUGAAUAUUCAAUAAAAGAAUAUGACACCCUUUCAAAUCGUGUUCUUGUAACCUCCUGCUAUGAAGAUAAAUGAAGACAGAUCUGUGCUAUCAGCACAAGUGGCAUUCAACCGAUUCUAAAACUUAUAUUUUUCCUGUAUUGAGCAUAUUUUAAAUGCACAGCGUUAAAAUCCUUGUUUCCUAAUAGCUCAGUCCUUUCACUUGCAUAUCACAUUGCAUUCAACAGUUCAGCAUUUUUGUCUGAGAACAUUUUUGGACGCUAGUUGGUGCUAUUGUUGGCUAGUAAUGGUACUGUUUCCUUCAUUCAUUCCACAAAAAUUUAUUGAGUGCCUACUCAUUGCCAGGCAUUGCGUUAGGCUCUAGAGAGGACUAGGACAUACUGUCUUCGUUGUCAAUGAGUUUGCAGUCGACCAGGCAAGAUGAACUCAGCUGACUCUAUCUUAAUGAUCCUCUAAGCUCCGUAGCAAUGUGAGGCAGAGGGUGAUACGAUGGGCACCCAAUCCUGGCUGCAGGGGGCCGAGGAGAGGCAGGGCAGGGAGGGCUUCCACAAGCAGAGGAGUAAGGGUUACCCAGGGGAAGGGGAAACGGGGAAAGAGGCAGCAGCAUGUCCAAGGGUAGGUAUCCAUCAACUGGACAUGCCUAUUUGACUCAGGGACAAUUUCAGAUUUCAAAACACAAACCAGUAACUUCCGGCUGAGUAAUACAUGUAAUAGACAACCCUAUGCUGGUGCUCGCCUCACUCACAUUUAUAGUCCAGACUCCACCAGUUAAAUCAUGCUCCUUUACAUGGAGGAGUGAAAUUACUUUCCAAAAAAUUGCAAAUGUAUGUGCAAAAAUGCAACGUUUAACAUUUUUGCAUAGUGAUGACUCUGUCCCGUCUUCCUGGAAAAUUGCAGUACUUGCCCCCAGACCAGUGCCUCCAGGGGAAUCCAGCUUUCAGAGUCUGUACCUUCUUCUGCCCCUUCCACUGGGUGCCUUGUCAGGCUGCUGGACCUGGAAGUUAUCCUCCCUCUUGCCUCUGGUCCUCCACAAGCCUGAAGUAAGUCUUUGAUUUCAUGAAAGGAGAGAUCUUUCUUGGACUGUCCAGUUCUCCAAAGCAGGAACAUGUCAAUGGAGUCUUUUAAAAGCAAUAGAGGUGGCAGUAGGACCCAACAAGUUCACUGGACUUGGCCAUUAGGAGGCCAUUGAUGACCUUGGCUUGAGCAGAGAAGCCAGAUUGGGGUGGGUUGAGGAAUGAAUGAGAGCUGUGCAAAUGGAAAUCAUGAGUGGGGUCUUCUCAGUUAGGACUUGGCUUGACAAAGGCGAGUAGAAAGGGACUAGACGGUGGGUGCAGGGACAAGUUGAGAUACAGAGAAAACAGGUCUAGACAUUUCCCAUGCUACCUAUUGCCACUUUUCAUGCUCUUAAACCUGAAAGUCACUUAAAAAAGGUACUUGUACAUUUCAGUUUUUCCCCCAAAUAGCCAUUGUUUCCUAAACAGAAAAAGUUUAACAUCCUCUGCCUAUCACUGACAUCCAGAAAGAAAAUGCAGUUCAUUUUUUCCCUUUCAAAUCAUUAAGAACAAUUCAAUCACUUCGGGAAAAUUCUUGUCAUUGUCAGUGUGCCGAAACAAGCUGUGGUUCUGCCCAUGGGCACCGCGUUAAUACAUACAUUUAUUCUCUUUGCUCGCACAGAGACCCUGGGUUGCUUGUUUCCGUAAAGGCUGCCUGUCAUCUCUUAUGGGACCUUCAUGUGUCAGUGAUACCGGUUACCUCAUGUCACAGCCCAUCAGUCGGCUUAUCUCCAGAAGAAUGUGAAAUUGCCUAACAAGCCUGCAAAUGUGAAGGGCUCCACGGUGGCUUAAUCACACAUGAUGUUCCCCUGUCUCAUCAGUCCCUAUACUGAGGCUGCACCUCUCAUUUCUUAGACAAAUACAUUUCCUAGAGCUGUGGCUGGACUAUCCCAGUUGUGUGGGGUUUUAACCCCCAUUCCUCAAUUCCAGGGUGAAUUUCAUUCUGGAAGCCCUCCCGUGCCCUUCUCCCCACCUUAGAAUAUUUCAAUCAUCUCCUUCCCUAAAACUGAUCUGGGCAAUCUGGCAACCUGGCAAAAUUAUUUUAAGCCCAGGCUUUUAACUGUGUUUGGAGUGAGUGAUAGCCUUGGAAACUUACUUGGGGGUAAUGCACACAUCCAAGUAUAUAUGUCCAGCAACGUUUGCCCCUUUGGGAGGGUGUGUACUCCCUUGAUGCUUGCCCUCUUUGCAGAAUUCUCCUGCCAGGGUCUUCUAUAAUCCACUAGCUGUCAGCAGGGAUGGUUGUGAUCAAAACUGCCCCCUCCAAAAAAGGUGCACGUUCUGUGAAGUGAAAGACAUCAUGGUGGAUGCAAAGAUGAAUAAAACGAUGGCCCAGCCCUCAACAAGGCAGAGGGCCAUACAGUGUAUCAACGGUACAUGUAUUAUAUAAAGGACUAGGAAGCUGGGGACACAGUGUCAUGAAGGAGCCAAUAGUGUGAUUAUUUCUUAGUGUGAUUAUUUCUUAAAAGAAGGAGACGAACAUGCCCAGGAUAAGUCAGUGCUUUGUUCUGUGGUCCAGAGGUUUUGGGGGCAGCUGCUUCCUUAUAGAAUUUGUAUUAACAACAUUUAGAAAUUUUCUGUAUUCCUGAUGCUGUGGCAUUUGUGGCCUCGCUGGCUGGGGAAAGACUGCUGUUCCAAGGGGGCUAGUGAGUUCUUAGAGACAGCAAAACGCUCACCCCCAGGAGCAUCCCUUUCAUUUGCAAACUAACAAAUCCAGAACCUUUCCUCUGAACUACCUCCUCUCUCUGGCUCAGACACUCUAGGAGGCAGGAUUCCUCUGCCCUAAUCAGCCAGAAGUGGGUACUAGACAACUAGAGACCACCUCUGUACCCAGAGCCCACUGAUUAUUCAGACGAACCAGUCCUAAACUGGUUCCUGCGGAAAGCACAAUAAAUGCUCUGGGCCAUGAUUUCCAUUCACCCCUUUGGGCUCCUGACCAAACCUGGUGUUUUCCCAUGUGACCCUGCAUGGAGUAACAUGCCCCAUCCUCUCCGGAAGUGUAGUACUGAAACAAAAUGUCUACACUGAACUCCUUUCAAUGGCAUUAGCCUCUCUGUGUUGUCACUCAGUCACCUCUAUAAAUUAACAUCGUGCAGGUGCAUUUUGAGAUAGAAGUGGGCUCUGAGAUGGAGGGUAACCCCGUAAGAAGAAAAGAUCUUGGGUCUUGGGCCAUCUGCUUCCUAGGGCUUAUGGGGUGUGGGAGUGAGCCUUUCCCCUUGUCAUUAAAUUAUUUACAAAAACAUGAUUUAUAGCAGCGGCAUACUUACAUUUACAUAAUAAUUUAUUUAAUUAACCUCCUGAUUUAUGUAAAAGAAUGUUGUUUUUAUUUUUCCGCUCAUAAAUAUUUCUGUGAUAAGCAUACUUUUAGAUAAAGUGUGAACGUUCUUGUUUCUUUCCUUUAAGAAAUUUUAAAGGUAAAAUGACUGAACCCAAAGAGACAUUUUUGCUGAGGUGGGAUGAGCUGAAAAGAGAUGUGUACCCUGAAAUUUUCUGAAGAUGUGACUGUGGAAGCCAAUAUGAUAAUACAGAGUGACAUUCAUGUACUGCCAGCGGAUUUAGCUGUUUUCUCGCCAAAUGUUAUGUUUGUUAAGACUGAGCUAUCAUCAAAACAAAACAAAGGAGUCGUUCAGGAAGUUUGGACAAAUGUGUAAUGACGUGUAUCCAUCAUUAUAUCAUGCAGAGCGUUUUCACCGCCAUCGAAAUCCCCUGUGCUCUGCCUAUUCAUCCUCCACCUGCCGACAACCACUGAUUUUGUCGUUAUCUCUAUAGUUUUGCCUUUUCUAGAAUGUCUUAUAAUUGGAAUAAGACAGCAUGCAGCCUUUUCACAUGGUCUUCUUCGCUUAGUAAUAUGCGUUUAGCUCUUCUGUGUCUUUUCAUGGUUUCAUUGCUCAUUUCUUUUUAGUGCUGAAUAAUAUUCCAUUGUCUGGA